GGGGCUUGGGAACAGUUCCCGCUUCCAGGUUUUCUCGACCUCCAUCUGCCGGUCAAUCCCACCUCUACACAAACCAGCGAACAGACAUAUCAUCCACCAAAUUAUACCACCAGCAACCACCACCCAACCCCAAAUCCAGUUCCGGCGACUUCCACAUCCAGCUACUACCAUCGCUCACCACCGCUCUGCUCCAAAUCAACGUCACCUGCUAGCAUCGAUCAACACCGCUCUACCCCAAAUCGAAAGGUCGCCGCUUUAUCUACUCCGUCAACCGACGACUUUUGUCGGACGAUUAGGGCUCCAACAGCAGCAAACGAUGAUGGGAAGUCUCUUCUUGCUGAAAAAAAAUGUAGAGUGCUACAUGUACAUAUUAUAUAACUUCUUUAAAUGCAAAAGAUUUCAAAAGGCAGCAGCACAUAUAUAGGAAAGUUAAGCCGUUUGUGUUUCUGAAUUGAUCAAAAGUUCGAAAGAAGGACAACUCCGGCGAUCAAAUUCUUGGUGGGUAUGCACGAGCCUUUGUGAUGAUUAUAAUGUUGAAGUUCAAUUGGAUGCACCUUUGUGUGUGACAGUUGUUCAGAUUGGUCGUUGUCUAACGUGGUGGUGCAGACGAAUUCUAUUGAAGUUGGGACAGAGGGCCAAGCCGAUGCGUGUAAGAAGCCUGUGUGGAAUAAGUUUUCUGAUGGAGUCGUGAAUGCGGUUAGUCCGGUUAUGGGUGCGGCUUGGCAUGGCAUGCGCUUGGUGUAUCAACUAAACCGACGCUUCGUUGGAGUCAUUAAAAGCGCUUUAUUACCCCCUGCGUUACCGGUAGCAGUUUUACUUUAGUAUUCUAAUUGAUUGUUUAAUCUGUGGUAAUUUGGCAAAUUUAAUACACUUAUCUAUGUAUAGAUGAAAAUUUGAAUUAAAAGAUCUUUGUGCAUAGUUGCAUAUGUAUAAGUUUCAAAUACUUAUCAAUUUCAUUGCUCAUAUCUUAUUUAAUGGAUUGUGUUUAGG
This 990-nucleotide long non-coding RNA is filed under the name Helianthus annuus (common sunflower). Its description in RNAcentral is "hypothetical non coding rna". Lineage: Eukaryota; Viridiplantae; Streptophyta; Magnoliopsida; Asterales; Asteraceae. The record is from RNAcentral.